This 562-nucleotide ribosomal RNA is filed under the name aquatic bacterium RUB_R2A_19. RNAcentral's name for it is "bacterial SSU rRNA". It matches the Rfam family "Bacterial small subunit ribosomal RNA", at positions 338 to 918 of the family's 1533-position model. Lineage: Bacteria; Pseudomonadati; Pseudomonadota; Alphaproteobacteria; Sphingomonadales; Sphingomonadaceae. The record is from RNAcentral.
CCUACGGGAGGCAGCAGUGGGGAAUAUUGGACAAUGGGCGAAAGCUGAUCCAGCAAUGCCGCGUGAGUGAUGAAGGCCUUAGGGUUGUAAAGCUCUUUUACCAGGGAUGAUAAUGACAGUACCUGGAGAAUAAGCUCCGGCUAACUCCGUGCCAGCAGCCGCGGUAAUACGGAGGGAGCUAGCGUUGUUCGGAAUUACUGGGCGUAAAGCGUACGUAGGCGGUUAUUCAAGUCAGGGGUGAAAGCCUGGAGCUCAACUCCAGAACUGCCCUUGAAACUAGAUAACUAGAAUCUUGGAGAGGUGAGUGGAAUUCCGAGUGUAGAGGUGAAAUUCGUAGAUAUUCGGAAGAACACCAGUGGCGAAGGCGACUCACUGGACAAGUAUUGACGCUGAGGUACGAAAGCGUGGGGAGCAAACAGGAUUAGAUACCCUGGUAGUCCACGCCGUAAACGAUGAUAACUAGCUGUUCGGGCUCUACGAGCUUGAGUGGCGCAGCUAACGCAUUAAGUUAUCCGCCUGGGGAGUACGGUCGCAAGAUUAAAACUCAAAGGAAUUGACGGGG